This 433-nucleotide long non-coding RNA is filed under the name Junco hyemalis (dark-eyed junco). Its description in RNAcentral is "lncRNA (ENSJHYG00000011032.1)". Lineage: Eukaryota; Metazoa; Chordata; Aves; Passeriformes; Passerellidae. The record is from RNAcentral.
AGCCAACACAGGACUUACACAGGAAGGUAAAGGGGAGAGAAAGUGGUCAUGUCAUGAAAGACAGCUAGAAGAGUACGGGAAGUACAGAGCUCUGUCAAAUGGGACCUUUGGAUGUUUGGAAAGUCCAACCACUAAAUGCUUUCCUGUUUCAUGUACUAUGGAGGGGAGUUCUCAUCUUCAUUCCUGCUCCAGAGAUAUUGACCUGCAGGAUGAGGAGACUUGGUGUGAGAACCAUAUGGAAGGGAAGAAGUAUCCCAGGCCCAAGAUACAAGUUUAUGGAUUGCAAGACAGGAGGCCAAACACCAAAACAGCAUCUAACAAAAGUGCUUUUUCUGUAGGAAGAGGCAAUACAACAUUUUGCUUCAGAAGAAUCUUAUUGGCCCUUCCUGGAUACUGGGUUGUAGGAAGAACUGAUGAAUGCUCCCUGCUGUGA